Molecule: ribosomal RNA, 274 nt
Filed under: uncultured bacterium
Lineage: Bacteria
Description: partial 16S ribosomal RNA
Rfam family: Bacterial small subunit ribosomal RNA
Source: RNAcentral
AUACGGAGGGGGCUAGCGUUGUUCGGAAUUACUGGGCGUAAAGCGCACGUAGGCGGCGCACGCAGUCAGAGGUGAAAGGCCUGGGCUCAACCCAGGAACUGCCUUUGAUACUGGUGCGCUAGAGUCCGGGAGAGGGUAGCGGAAUUCCCAGUGUAGAGGUGAAAUUCGUAGAUAUUGGGAAGAACACCGGUUGCGAAGGCGGCUACCUGGAACGGUACUGACGCUGAGGUGCGAAAGCGUGGGGAGCAAACAGGAUUAGAAACCCCAGUAGUCC